AAGCCUGAUGCAGCAACGCCGCGUGAGUGAUGAAGGCCUUCGGGUCGUAAAGCUCUGUCUUCGGGGACGAUAAUGACGGUACCCGAGGAGGAAGCCACGGCUAACUACGUGCCAGCAGCCGCGGUAAUACGUAGGUGGCAAGCGUUGUCCGGAUUUACUGGGCGUAAAGGGAGCGUAGGCGGAUACUUAAGUGGGAUGUGAAAUACCCGGGCUCAACCCGGGUGCUGCAUUCCAAACUGGGUAUCUAGAGUGUGGGAGAGGAAAGUGGAAUUCCUAGUGUAGCGGUGAAAUGCGUAGAGAUUAGGAAGAACACCAGUGGCGAAGGCGACUUUCUGGACCAUAACUGACGCUGAGGC
RNAcentral lists this ribosomal RNA (356 nucleotides) under Salmonella enterica. RNAcentral describes it as "bacterial SSU rRNA". It matches the Rfam family "Bacterial small subunit ribosomal RNA", at positions 379 to 752 of the family's 1533-position model. The record is from RNAcentral. Lineage: Bacteria; Pseudomonadati; Pseudomonadota; Gammaproteobacteria; Enterobacterales; Enterobacteriaceae.